CCUACGGGAGGCAGCAGUGGGGAAUAUUGCGCAAUGGGCGAAAGCCUGACGCAGCGACGCCGCGUGUGUGAUGAAGGUCUUCGGAUCGUAAACCUCUGUCAGCAGGGAAGAACGGUCACUGGUCUAAUCAUCAGUGAAUUGACGGUACCUGCAAAGGAAGCACCGGCUAACUCCGUGCCAGCAGCCGCGGUAAUACGGAGGGUGCGAGCGUUAAUCGGAAUUACUGGGCGUAAAGCGCUCGUAGGCGGUAUGUCAAGUCAAGUGUUAAAUCCCCGCGCUCAACGUGGGAACUGCCUUUGAAAAGGGCAAACCGGAGUGUGUGAAAGGAUAGUGGAAAUCCAGGUUGAGGAGGUGAAUCGG
Molecule: ribosomal RNA, 360 nt
Filed under: uncultured bacterium
Lineage: Bacteria
Description: partial 16S ribosomal RNA
Rfam family: Bacterial small subunit ribosomal RNA
Source: RNAcentral